This 256-nucleotide long non-coding RNA is filed under the name Bos taurus (domestic cattle). Its description in RNAcentral is "long non-coding RNA NONBTAT011544". Lineage: Eukaryota; Metazoa; Chordata; Mammalia; Artiodactyla; Bovidae. The record is from RNAcentral.
AAAUUUUCUUAUGACUAUUUCACCAACUAUGAAAAAGAUGAUGUUCAAUAAAUGUUCACAGAAUGACUAGAUGGAUAAAUGGCAGUAACAGCAAACAAUAAAUAUUUUAAGAAUGUGAUGCCCUUUUAAGAGUAGAGAGUUCAGAAAAAGCAAUAAAUUUCAAUUCAACGAUGACAAGGUAUUUAUGAAUCUCCUAUUGCGAAUUGCUUACACAAAAAGGGAUAACCCCCCUCAAAAUUGUUACUCAGCUCCGUUU